CCUACGGGUGGCAGCAGUCGAGAAUCAUUCACAAUGGGGGAAACCCUGAUGGUGCGACGCAGCGUGGGGGAAUGAAGGUCUUCGGAUUGUAAACCCCUGUCAUGUGGGAGCAAAUUAAAAAGAUAGUACCACAAGAGGAAGAGACGGCUAACUCUGUGCCAGCAGCCGCGGUAAUACAGAGGUCUCAAGCGUUGUUCGGAAUCACUGGGCGUAAAGCGUGCGUAGGCUGUUUCGUAAGUCGUGUGUGAAAGGCGCGGGCUCAACCCGCGGACGGCAUAUGAUACUGCGAGACUAGAGUAAGGGAGGGGGAAGCGGAAUUCUCGGUGUAGCAGUGAAAUGCGUAGAUAUAGAGAGGAACACUCGUGGCGAAGGCGGGUUCCUGGACAUUAACUGACGCUGAGGCACGAAGGCCAGGGGAGCGAAAGGGAUUAGAUACCCCGGUAGUC
This 446-nucleotide ribosomal RNA is filed under the name uncultured bacterium. Its description in RNAcentral is "partial 16S ribosomal RNA". It matches the Rfam family "Bacterial small subunit ribosomal RNA", at positions 338 to 795 of the family's 1533-position model. The record is from RNAcentral.